This 1926-nucleotide ribosomal RNA is filed under the name Adamystidae gen. sp. AD1313. RNAcentral's name for it is "SSU rRNA". It matches the Rfam family "Eukaryotic small subunit ribosomal RNA". Lineage: Eukaryota; Metazoa; Arthropoda; Arachnida; Trombidiformes; Adamystidae. The record is from RNAcentral.
UCUCAAAGAUUAAGCCAUGCAUGUCUAAGUAAAACUUGGAAGAGCAAUCUUAAACAAGUGAAACCGCGAAUGGCUCAUUAAAUCAGUUACGGUUUAUUAGAUACAUAACUAACCUACAUGGAUAACUGUGGUAAUUCUAGAGCUAAUACAUGCACACAYACCACUCUUUMGGGAGUGGUGGCACUUAUUAGACCAAGACCAAACCUCCGUAACAAGAGGUGURAUGGUGACUCUGGAUAAUUGAGCAGAUCUCAGUACAACCCUUUGUGGUUGGAGACAAAUCUUUCAAGUGUCUGCCUUAUCAACUUUCGAUGGUAUGGUAUAUGCCUACCAUGGUUGUAACGGGUAACGGGGAAUCAGGGUUCGAUUCCGGAGAGGGAGCCUGAGAAACGGCUACCACAUCCAAGGAAGGCAGCAGGCACGCAAAUUACCCACUCCCAGAUCGGGGAGGUAGUGACGAAAAAUAACAAUACAGAACUCUUUAGAGGCUCUGUAAUUGGAAUGAACUUAUCUUUACUUAAAUCCUUAUUGUGAGGAUCAAUUGGAGGGCAAGUCUGGUGCCAGCAGCCGCGGUAAUUCCAGCUCCAAUAGCGUAUAUUAAAGUUGUUGCGGUUAAAAAGCUCGUAGUUGGAUCUCYCCAGCACUAGUGGACUGUUGGCCUACCCACGUAAGUGUGGUAGUGUCCAAACCACAAGUCUGGUUACAACAGUGUUGUACUUUGCUAUCCUUAAUCGGAUUGGCAUUGCCUUACACCUGUUACGUUUACUUUGAACAAAUUAGAGUGCUCAGAGCGGGCUUUAAACCUACUCCCAGUAGGUAGUAGCCACGUAUAGACACGCAUGGAAUAAUAGAAUAAGACUUAAGGUCUUACUUGUCUGUUGGUCUUAAAGACACUUAAGUAAUGAUUAAGAGGGACAGUCUGUCAGUUUGUCGGGGGCAUUUGUACUGCAACGCUAGAGGUGAAAUUCUUGGACCGUUGCAUGACAAACUACAGCGAAAGCAUUUGCCAAGAAUGUUUUCAUUAAUCAAGAACGAAAGUUAGAGGUUCGAAGGCGAUCAGAUACCGCCCUAGUUCUAACCAUAAACGAUGCCAACCAGCGAUUAGCCUGAGCCGAACCCCACCACACUUACCCCUACCCAGGGUGUGGUGUGUGUGGUUAAAUGACUCGGCUAGAAGCUUUCACCGGGAAACCUAUUGAGUAUUUGGGUUCCGGGGGAAGUAUGGUUGCAAAGCUGAAACUUAAAGGAAUUGACGGAAGGGCACCACCAGGAGUGGAGCCUGCGGCUUAAUUUGACUCAACACGGGAAAACUUACCCGGCCCGGACACUGGAAAGAUUGACAGAUUGAGAGCUCUUUCUUGAUUCAGUGGGUGGUGGUGCAUGGCCGUUCUUAGUUGGUGGAGUGAUUUGUCUGGUUAAUUCCGAUAACGAACGAGACUCUAGCCUAUUAAAUAGACACCCUACUUUCACACUCACGUGUGCUACGUAGAGGUGGUCGCUUCUUAAAGGGACAAAUGGCUAUACAAUAGCCAAAUGAAAAAGAGCAAUAACAGGUCUGUGAUGCCCUUAGAUGUCCGGGGCCGCACGCGCGCUACAAUGAAAUGUUAAAUGUGCACCCACGUACCACCUUCUCGUAACAGAGUGGUGGCAGUGGUACCUACUCUGUGAUAGAGUUUGGGCAACCAUACUACAAUACAUUUCGUGAUUGGGACUGAGCAUUGUAAUUAUUGCUCACUAACGAGGAAUUCCCAGUAAGCAUGAGUCAUAAGCUUGUGUUGAUUACGUCCCUGCCCUUUGUACACACCGCCCGUCGCUACUACCGAUUGAAUGAUUUAGUGAGGUCUUCGGACGAACCACUGCAGUUGGCCACCAAAGUCAACAGUGGAGGUUUGAAAGUUGACCAAACUUGAUCAUUUAGAGGAAGUA